Molecule: long non-coding RNA, 1681 nt
Organism: Brachypodium distachyon (stiff brome)
Lineage: Eukaryota; Viridiplantae; Streptophyta; Magnoliopsida; Poales; Poaceae
Exons: 2
Source: RefSeq, a predicted model, not a curated record
GAGCCGCAACUCCCUUGACCCGAACCCUAACUCCAAUCACGCUCCAUCUAAUUCCUUUCUCCAACCUCCUGGCGGUGCGACGGUCUUCCUCUUCCGCGACCGCGUGACCCAGCCAUAGCGGCACAACCUACGGCGCUGGAGCUCGAGGCAGCUGCUGCUUCCUCUACGACCAAGCGACAGCCUUCCUCUCCUCUGGCCGCUGCAAAUCUGAAUCCAGCCUCGUUUUCCCUCUCAGAUCUGAAGUCACCCACCCAACCCUGUAUCCCACAUCUGACAUCUAAUUGAUGCGUGUUGGUUCAUCUCCCAUCUCGUUCAUGCGUGCGUGUUUUUUUAGAUGCUGCUACUGUUGCUUGGUUCUUGGUUGUAGCCUGGAGGUCAAUUAAAAUUGAUAAUGUUGGUUCUUGGUUGCACGCGCCCAGCAGGCAGCAGCAGCGCACGCGAGAAGCAAGCAGCGGCGACACCAACCAGCAGGUAGCGACGACGCACUCGGCCAGCAAGCAGCGGCGCAGUCUAUGGCCUGAUGCUUUCACUGCAGCUUCCUGUGCCUCAGGUCCGUCGGCGAAGCCAACCUCAUUCCCUCUCAGAUCUGAACUGAAGUCCAUGUCCAAGUCUCCAACAACUUCCAAGCCACCGACGAUGCUGGUGUUCUUUCUAAUGUGUAUAUCUAAGUGUUGUCGUUCUCUGCAUGAGUGGAUCUCCACCGAUCUUCUGUCUGGAUGUUGAUUGAAAUUGUUUAUUGAAUUUGUGCAUUUUUAAAGGGAAUUUGUGUUAUUAUUAUGUGUACAAUUUAUUAAUUGUUGGGCCUCGGCCUUUCGGGCUUUUCGUCAGGCCGGGCUCAGGCUUUAGGUUUACUGCUCGGGCUUUUACAAGCCCCGCCCAAAACUGGGCCCGGCUCGAGAAAUACCCAGGUAUAGGACAGAACAUGGCGCUUGAUGAGGGGCUACCUCGGCAAUACCUUGACUCAAGGGUUUUCGACUGAGGGACAGCACGGGGUGCACCAACGAUCUCGUCGAUUAAAAAGACUAGAGGAACCGCAAGGUUUAUCUAGUUUCGGGACCCUCGGAAGGUGUUGCCGGAGCUAGAGGAACGUGGUCGAUGACGGGAUCGAGGACGAACCUUGGGAGAAGCUGAGGUCGAGAGAUCAAGGUCAUGCGUGACGUUCGUGCGAAGACACAAUGGAAGUAAAGGCUACGAUGAUUCGGGAGGGCACCGGUUUGUCGUACGUUGUUUAUACCGAAGAUGUAAGAUAUUGGAGAUGUUCGACACGUGAUGGUCGAGUUUUGAAGACAUUACAAGAAGAGUUGAUGACAUGGAGUGGCAUUGACGUGAAGACAUGAAGGUCCAGCUGUGGCUAGAUGAGGGUUGUUUAAAUAUUAAACAGUAGCGUCAUCAAGAUGGUGUCCGAUGGAAAAGUGGUCCACAUGAAAGUUGUGUGCGUCGUCGAGGCAAACAACUUUGCUUUUGAAGUCAUCUCAAUCGGAGAUUGUAUGUGGGCCGCACAGACAGAAUACCGACCGGGACAGAGGAGUUCGUGUUGGAUUCAGACUCGGUCUAGUGUCGUGAAUUUUCCUUUUUAAAUAGAAAGCGUCCUAGUAGGGUUUUAGAAAGGACGUGAGGAAACUCGGAGCUUUGGAUCUAGAUCAAUUUUUGGAGAGUUAUUUGAUGCAUGGUUGCAUCUUUU